AGUGAACGCUGGCGGUAGGCCUAACACAUGCAAGUCGAACGGCAGCACAGUAAGAGCUUGCUCUUACGGGUGGCGAGUGGCGGACGGGUGAGGAAUACAUCGGAAUCUACUUUUUCGUGGGGGAGAACGUAGGGAAACUUACGCUAAUACCGCAUACGACCUACGGGUGAAAGCAGGGGAUCUUCGGAACUUGCGCGAUUGAAUGAGCCGAUGUCGGAUUAGCUAGUUGGCGGGGUAAAGGCCCACCAAGGCGACGAUCCGUAGCUGGUCUGAGAGGAUGAUCAGCCACACUGGAACUGAGACACGGUCCAGACUCCUACGGGAGGCAGCAGUGGGGAAUAUUGGACAAUGGGCGCAAGCCUGAUCCAGCCAUACCGCGUGGGUGAAGAAGGCCUUCGGGUUGUAAAGCCCUUUUGUUGGGAAAGAAAAGCAGCAGGUUAAUACCCCGCUGUUCUGACGGUACCCAAAGAAUAAGCACCGGCUAACUUCGUG
RNAcentral lists this ribosomal RNA (492 nucleotides) under uncultured bacterium. Its description in RNAcentral is "partial 16S ribosomal RNA". It matches the Rfam family "Bacterial small subunit ribosomal RNA", at positions 29 to 507 of the family's 1533-position model. The record is from RNAcentral.